GAUGAAGAACGUAGCGAAACGCGAAAGGUAAUGCGAAUUGCAGAAUCAGUGAGUCAUCGAAUCUUUGAACGCACAUUGCGCCCCCUGGUAUUCCGGGGGGCAUGCCUGUUCGAGCGUCAUUUCACCACUCAAGCCUCGCUUGGUAUUGGGCAACGCGGUCCGCCGCGUGCCUCAAAUCGACCGGCUGGGUCUUCUGUCCCCUAAGCGUUGUGGAAACUUUCGCUAAAGGGUGUUCGGGAGGCUACGCCGUAAAACAACCCCAUUUCUAAGGUUGACCUCGGAUCAGGUAGGGAUACCCGCUGAACUUAAGCAUAUCAAUAAGCGGAGGA
Molecule: unclassified non-coding RNA, 329 nt
Filed under: soil metagenome
Description: partial contains 5.8S ribosomal RNA, internal transcribed spacer 2, and large subunit ribosomal RNA
Rfam family: 5.8S ribosomal RNA (bases 1-119)
Source: RNAcentral